AGCGAACGCUGGCGGCAGGCCUAACACAUGCAAGUCGAACGGAUCCUUCGGGAUUAGUGGCGGACGGGUGAGUAACACGUGGGAACGUGCCCUUUGGUUCGGAACAACUCAGGGAAACUUGAGCUAAUACCGGAUGUGCCCUUCGGGGGAAAGAUUUAUCGCCAUUGGAGCGGCCCGCGUCUGAUUAGCUAGUUGGUGAGGUAACGGCCCACCAAGGCGACGAUCAGUAGCUGGUCUGAGAGGAUGAUCAGCCACACUGGGACUGAGACACGGCCCAGACUCCUACGGGAGGCAGCAGUGGGGAAUCUUGCGAAAUGGGCGAAAGCCUGACGCAGCCAUGCCGCGUGAGUGAUGAAGGUCUUAGGAUUGUAAAAUUCUUUCAGCGGAGACGAUAAUGACGGUACCCGCAGAAGAAGCUCCGGCUAACUUCGUG
RNAcentral lists this ribosomal RNA (433 nucleotides) under uncultured bacterium. RNAcentral describes it as "partial 16S ribosomal RNA". It matches the Rfam family "Bacterial small subunit ribosomal RNA", at positions 29 to 507 of the family's 1533-position model. The record is from RNAcentral.